RNAcentral lists this ribosomal RNA (477 nucleotides) under Enterococcus faecium. RNAcentral's name for it is "partial 23S ribosomal RNA". It matches the Rfam family "Bacterial large subunit ribosomal RNA", at positions 1557 to 2043 of the family's 2925-position model. The record is from RNAcentral. Lineage: Bacteria; Bacillati; Bacillota; Bacilli; Lactobacillales; Enterococcaceae.
CAAGCUGUGAUGGGGAGGGAAAUAAUAGUACCGAAGUUCCUGAUGUCACACUGCCGAGAAAAGCUUCUAGUGAGAAAACAGCGGCCCGUACCGCAAACCGACACAGGUAGUCGAGGAGAGAAUCCUAAGGUGAGCGAGAGAACUCUCGUUAAGGAACUCGGCAAAAUGACCCCGUAACUUCGGGAGAAGGGGUGCUGAUCAUACGAUCAGCCGCAGUGAAUAGGCCCAAGCGACUGUUUAUCAAAAACACAGGUCUCUGCAAAAUCGUAAGAUGAAGUAUAGGGGCUGACGCCUGCCCGGUGCUGGAAGGUUAAGAGGAGUGCUUAGCGCAAGCGAAGGUACGAAUUGAAGCCCCAGUAAACGGCGGCCGUAACUAUAACGGUCCUAAGGUAGCGAAAUUCCUUGUCGGGUAAGUUCCGACCCGCACGAAAGGCGUAACGAUUUGGGCACUGUCUCAACGAGAGACUCGGUGAAAUU